This 600-nucleotide ribosomal RNA is filed under the name Natrinema gari. RNAcentral's name for it is "bacterial SSU rRNA". It matches the Rfam family "Archaeal small subunit ribosomal RNA", at positions 72 to 671 of the family's 1478-position model. The record is from RNAcentral. Lineage: Archaea; Methanobacteriati; Methanobacteriota; Halobacteria; Halobacteriales; Natrialbaceae.
GACUUCGUAGCAGAUAGCUCAGUAACACGUGGCCAAACUACCCUAUGGAUCCGAAUAACCUCGGGAAACUGAGGCUAAUGCGGAAUAGCGUUCAUCGCCUGGAGUGGCACGAACGCGAAACGUUACGGCGCCAUAGGAUGUGGCUGCGGCCGAUUAGGUAGACGGUGGGGUAACGGCCCACCGUGCCCAUAAUCGGUACGGGUUGUGAGAGCAAGAGCCCGGAGACGGUAUCUGAGACAAGAUACCGGGCCCUACGGGGCGCAGCAGGCGCGAAACCUUUACACUGCACGCGAGUGCGAUAAGGGGACUCCGAGUGCGAGGGCAUAUAGUCCUCGCUUUUCACGACCGUAAGGUGGUCGUAGAAUAAGUGCUGGGCAAGACCGGUGCCAGCCGCCGCGGUAAUACCGGCAGCACGAGUGAUGACCGCUAUUAUUGGGCCUAAAGCGUCCGUAGCUGGCCACGCAAGUCUAUCGGGAAAUCCGCGCGCUUAACGCGCGGGCGUCCGGUGGAAACUGCGUGGCUUGGGACCGGAAGACCAGAGGGGUACGUCCGGGGUAGGAGUGAAAUCCCGUAAUCCUGGACGGACCACCGGUGGCGAAA